UGACUACCACCGCGUGUGCGGACACGUC
This 28-nucleotide small RNA is filed under the name Bombyx mori (domestic silkworm). RNAcentral's name for it is "ovarian small RNA-31865". Lineage: Eukaryota; Metazoa; Arthropoda; Insecta; Lepidoptera; Bombycidae. The record is from RNAcentral.